GUAGUCCACGCCGUAAACGAUGAGAACUAGCUCUUGGGGGUAUUGACUCCCUCAGGGACGAAGCUAACGCAUUAAGUUCUCCGCCUGGGAAGUACGGUCGCAAGACUAAAACUCAAAGAAAUUGACGGGGGCCCGCACAAGCGGUGGAUUAUGUGGUUUAAUUCGAAGCAACGCGCAGAACCUUACCUAGCCUUGAAAUCCUACGAAUCCGAUGUAAUGGUUGGAGUGCCCGCAAGGGAAUGUAGAGACAGGUGCUGCAUGGCUGUCGUCAGCUCGUGUUGUGAAAUGUUGGGUUAAGUCUCGCAACGAGCGCAACCCCUAUCUUUAGUUGCCAGCAUUAAGUUGGGCACUCUAGAGAGACUGCCUGGGUUAACCAGGA
RNAcentral lists this ribosomal RNA (379 nucleotides) under uncultured bacterium. RNAcentral's name for it is "bacterial SSU rRNA". It matches the Rfam family "Bacterial small subunit ribosomal RNA", at positions 790 to 1167 of the family's 1533-position model. The record is from RNAcentral.